RNAcentral lists this ribosomal RNA (461 nucleotides) under uncultured bacterium. Its description in RNAcentral is "SSU rRNA". It matches the Rfam family "Bacterial small subunit ribosomal RNA", at positions 26 to 518 of the family's 1533-position model. The record is from RNAcentral.
AGAAUCAACGCUGGCGGCGUGCCUAACACAUGCAAGUCGAACGAGAAAGUGGAGCAAUCCAUGAGUAAAGUGGCGACCGGGUGAGUAACACGUGACUAACCUACCUUCGAGUGGGGGAUAACAUCGGGAAACCGAUGCUAAUACCGCAUAACAUCGCAAGAUCAAAGCAGCAAUGCGCUGGAAGAGGGGGUCGCGGCUGAUUAGCUAGUUGGCGGGGUAACGGCCCACCAAGGCGAAGAUCGGCAGCCGGCCUGAGAGGGCGCACGGCCACACUGGAACUGAAACACGGUCCAGACUCCUACGGGAGGCAGCAGUGGGGAAUUUUGCGCAAUGGGGGAAACCCUGACGCAGCAACGCCGCGUGGAGGAUGAAGCCCCUUGGGGUGUAAACUCCUUUCGACCAAGACGAUAAUGACGGUACUGGGUGGAAGAAGCACCGGCUAACUCUGCGCCAGCAGCCGC